Molecule: long non-coding RNA, 2134 nt
Filed under: Panax ginseng (ginseng)
Lineage: Eukaryota; Viridiplantae; Streptophyta; Magnoliopsida; Apiales; Araliaceae
Description: long non-coding RNA (PGIN_LNC010996)
Source: RNAcentral
GAUUGUCGGUUGAGUUUGGGGAAUCUGGCUUGCGAAUUGGUUGGAGUGGUGAAGAUGACGAACAUUAUGAUGGUGAAUCUUUGGGGUUUGGAGUUUGAACCACCACCACCACCACCAACACGGUCACCUCAACCAAUCCCAGCCAUCGUUCGCAUAGACAACAAAAUCGUGGCCGUCGAGGUGGAAUUUAUCUACACGGUCAGUGUUAGGGUAAUUAUUGAAUCUGCUGCUGGUUCAGUGUUGGGUGAUAUUUUUCAGUUCCAAAAGAACAGGCCCAUUAGCAAGAGGAAGACUUUUGGGUAAGUCAUAUGCUUAGAACUCUCAAAUUUUAUUUACCCCCUAUUUUGAGUGCCAUUUUGAUUUUUCUUUUUGUGUCAAUUCCAGAAAUCAUAAAAUUUAAAUUGAGUUUUAAGAUUAACAAAAUUUGUACAACUUGUAUAAGUAGUAGUUUAUAAUAUUCACAAUUGUAUGGGUUGAAAUAAAAUAAAUCCACUUUUAGUUUUAGGAUUUCUGACCUCUAAACAAGUCAAAUUUGACUCUUUGUUUGGAACUGAGGGAGUAUUUGUUAAUGGGCAUGUGUCAUAUACUGAAAUCAUGGUGUUUUAUUACUUGAAUUAGAUUUUUUUUUUAUGAUUAGAUGUUCUUGUUCUCAAGUCAUGCCUAAUAAUAUUGCUCUUUAUAUUUGAAUUGAAUUGGCUAGUUCAAGGUUUUAUUUUCUAAUAAGUUUGAAUUGAAUUGGUUAAUUUGUUACGACUAUAUUGAUUCUGUUCUGUUGUUAUGAUUGAUAGUAUUACUUUUGAGCUUGAACUAAGUUGGAUUUUGUAUGAUUUUAGUUUCUUUAUGUUUUCCUAACUUUGUAGAUCGGUAAUGGUUUUAGUUUGUUUCUGUGUUUCUGUGUUAAUAGGCAUGUCUUAUUUGCUUAAUAACAAUUUGUCUAAAUUAAUUCAGUGCAACUACAGAAGGUAAAGUUACUAAAGGUUACACAGUUUUAAGAUCUACACAAUGUUUAGAAAUUCAUGGGGACUCCUGUUGAAAACGUAUGAUGGGCAGUAUUAAAUUACUAAACCAUUCCAAUCCAACUAAUCAUAUGCCUAAAGUGUGUUCGUUUAUCACCCUUUAAUAUUUUUCUUUUUCUUAUGAUCAGAGCAUAUAUAUUAUUUCUCAGUUAUGUAGGUUUGCUAUUUUUGCCCAUCCAACUUGAUGUUAUCAUUUGUUAUCCAUUGGAUCACAGUUAAAACAUCAUAGGUUGCCUCAAAUUGACUGAUAUGUGGCACUUUGCGCUUCAUUGCAAUAAGCAUUCAGUCACAUGCAAACUCAUUCCUUCUAAACUGGUCUUCUUCUAACCUUAGCGACAUAUGGUCAACAAGUAACCAAUUUUUGGGAGAAAACUUAAUGUAUUAUAUUCCAUUUUAAUGCCAAGAAAUGUUUUCUUUGUCACAUGGUGUUGUUUUCUUUUGAGUACUCAAAAGUUACUUCCAAGAUAUCAAAGUUAAAUUUACAAACUUAAAACUUAUAGAAGUUGACAAGGAAAUAUUUUUUGUAGUUUGUGUACCAUGUUUGUCUGACAUGUCAAAAAAUGUUUUGUUGAAAUACUAAUGAUCUUGUUUAACUGAAUAAAUAAUAAUAUUUUUAGUAAUUUUCACUUAAUUUUCCUUAUUGAAAAAGGAUAGUGAGUCAUGUAGGUUGAUCCAUGUUUGUCAGCAUUAAUUCAGUGACAUUGCUUAGUUUAGAAUCUGAUCACUCUUUCUGCGGCAACAGAAGGCCUAAACGUGUGACCAAGUGUGUAUGGUCACAAGACUGACACUCAAAGAGUAAUUGUUGGACCCUGCACAGGCAGUAUGUUGUUGUUCCUUUAUAACUACAGACGACUUGAAAGUCUUAAUGAGUUCCACUUUCUAGGGGUGAAAAUGUUGUAACCUCUGUUGCAUAAAUAUAGUUACUAGAAACUAAUUCACUCAUUCCUAAUUCAAGUCAUAUAGGUGAAGCUGAACCCCAUGCGAGCACCGCUGACCAAGGAGGACACACAUAUUUUGGUUAUUGCAAGUGCAAAUAAUUUCAUUUAGUGCGGGACAGGUUCACACUUAACAGUGUGCUUUGACCUCUUACCAAUUUAAGUCAUGUUAAAGAGGUUCAU